UGGGGGAUAUUGCACAAUGGGGGGAACCCUGAUGCAGCGACGCCGCGUGAGUGAAGAAGCGUUUCGGCGCGUAAAGCUCUAUCAGCAGGGAAGAAAAUGACGGUACCUGACUAAGAAGCCCCGGCUAACUACGUGCCAGCAGCCGCGGUAAUACGUAGGGGGCAAGCGUUAUCCGGAUUUACUGGGUGUAAAGGGAGCGCAGACGGCAGCGCAAGUCUGGAGUGAAAUCCCGGGGCUCAACCCCGGAACUGCUUUGGAAACUGCGCGGCUUGAGUGCAGGAGGGGUAAGCGGAAUUCCUAGUGUAGCGGUGAAAUGCGUAGAUAUUAGGAGGAACACCGGCGGCGAAGGCGGCUUACUGGACUGUAACUGACGUUGAGGCUCGAAAGCGUGGGGAGCAAACAGG
RNAcentral lists this ribosomal RNA (404 nucleotides) under uncultured bacterium. RNAcentral describes it as "bacterial SSU rRNA". It matches the Rfam family "Bacterial small subunit ribosomal RNA", at positions 355 to 776 of the family's 1533-position model. The record is from RNAcentral.